This is a long non-coding RNA of Pipra filicauda (Wire-tailed manakin), 533 nucleotides long. RefSeq lists it as uncharacterized. The transcript is spliced from 5 exons. Lineage: Eukaryota; Metazoa; Chordata; Aves; Passeriformes; Pipridae. The record is from RefSeq and is a predicted model, not a curated record.
GCUGCUGCAAUAGGAGGUUCAUCUCACCAGCAAGAGCAGCACUGCGUGAGUGUGUGCAUUUCUGCUUUACGUGAUUGUCUGCACGUCCCUUGGCACACACAGGGGCUCAGCAGUGUUGGUGUGGGAGCAGUGAGUUGUGAUGACUUCAAUCCCUACUGCCUUCUGCAGACACCCUCAGUGCCACAGUCCACAUGUUUGAAGCAUUGAGAAAGCCUGUGUAUGGCAAAGAGCAGCUGUUCCUGUCUUCAUGAGUGAUCAAAGGUAUAUAAAUCCAGAGUAGGACAGCAGUGCAGUAAACCCAUGAACUUCAUGUUCCUGUCAGUGACAGUCCUGGUAGAAGGAAAGUGCUGAGACCACCAACCCACCUGACUGCCACGGAUGUCCCCCACCUUGACUCUACACCAACAAACGCUGAGGCCUCUGGACCACAGUGCCAUGACACUGCUACUCAGUAGCUACACGACCAGCCAAGGUAUCCAUGGAAAAGGAUGUUUUUAAACCCUCUGUCAACUGCUCUUCCUUCCCAGGCUAAC